GAUGAUGCGUUACAGAUCAGAGACCUGAGUCUGCAGCGACUCUCUUCCUCUCUCUGCUGAACACUUCCUGAAACAACGAGGCAAACACGUGAAUAGAAGAAAACAACAUUUUUCCAAAAAAUUCAAAAUUUGAAAUGUACCGUUAGUAUUGGAGAACUACUUCCUGCAAACUCGUGUUCCUGUGAGACCUGUGGCUCUGCAUGGACAGGAGCACCUGAGGGUCCACGUCAGAGUCAAACCAGACGGCGUUUCAAAUAUUCAGUAUCUGUGAUGUCAGCAGGUUUGUGGCAACACACUGGGUGAGUGACCAGGUGUGUUACCAGUUCCAAGACCCGACGACUCAGUUUCAUCAAGGCUCAGAGAAAAUCUACUGGACUCACCACCAACUGUGAGGACGGCUGCUGCCACCUUCUCCCUGUGAGACAGACAGACAGGUCAGAUGACAUGUGACUAUACCAGCGGAUUUCCCAGCAUGCUCCUCACCAGGAAGUAGUCGAAGAACUCCUCAGUCAGGC
Molecule: long non-coding RNA, 515 nt
Organism: Pleuronectes platessa (European plaice)
Lineage: Eukaryota; Metazoa; Chordata; Actinopteri; Pleuronectiformes; Pleuronectidae
Exons: 3
Source: RefSeq, a predicted model, not a curated record